CCUACGGGAGGCAGCAGUGAGGAAUAUUGGUCAAUGGCCGCAAGUCUGAACCAGCCAAGCCGCGUGAAGGACGAAGGUGCCACGCAUUGUAAACUUCUUUUGUCAAGGGACAAAAUCAGGCUCGAGAGCCUGACCGAGGGUGCUUCAAGAAAAAGAAUCGGCUAACUCCGUGCCCGCAGCCGCGGUAAUACGGAGGAUGCGAGCGUUAUCCGGGUUUAUUGGGUUUAAAGGGUGCGUAGGCGGCCUGUUAAGUCAGCGGUAAAAGCCCGGGGCUCAACGCCGACGAGCAGUUGAAACUGGCGGUCUUGAGAUGUCGAGAGGUAGGCGGAAUGCGCGGUGUAGCGGUGAAAUGCUUAGAUAUCGCGAAGAACUCCGAUUGCGAAGGCAGGAUACCGGGGGGGAUCUGACGCUGAGGCACGAAAGCGUGGGUAUCGAACAGGAUUAGAUACCCGAGUAGUC
Molecule: ribosomal RNA, 459 nt
Filed under: uncultured bacterium
Lineage: Bacteria
Description: partial 16S ribosomal RNA
Rfam family: Bacterial small subunit ribosomal RNA
Source: RNAcentral